Molecule: ribosomal RNA, 497 nt
Filed under: uncultured bacterium
Lineage: Bacteria
Description: partial 16S ribosomal RNA
Rfam family: Bacterial small subunit ribosomal RNA
Source: RNAcentral
GAUGAACGCUGGCGGCGUGCCUAAUACAUGCAAGUCGAGCGAACGGACGAGAAGCUUGCUUCUCUGAUGUUAGCGGCGGACGGGUGAGUAACACGUGGAUAACCUACCUAUAAGACUGGGAUAACUUCGGGAAACCGUAGCUAAUACCGGAUAAUAUUUUGAACCGCAUGGUUCAACAGUGAAAGACGGUCUUGCUGUCACUUAUAGAUGGAUCCGCGCUGCAUUAGCUAGUUGGUAAGGUAACGGCUUACCAAGGCAACGAUGCGUAGCCGACCUGAGAGGGUGAUCGGCCACACGGGAACUGAGACACGGUCCAGACUCCUACGGGAGGCAGCAGUAGGGAAUCUUCCGCAAUGGGCGAAAGCCUGACGGAGCAACGCCGCGUGAGUGAUGAAGGUCUUCGGAUCGUAAAACUCUGUUAUUAGGGAAGAACAUAUGUGUAAGUAACUGUGCACAUCUUGACGGUACCUAAUCAGAAAGCCACGGCUAACUACGUG